GUGCUCACUUCAACUGCACAUACACUAAAACUGGAAUGAUCCAGAUAAGAUUAACAUGGCCCGGGCUGAAGGAAAUUCAUGAAGCAUCUCACAUUUUU
RNAcentral lists this small nuclear RNA (98 nucleotides) under Cervus hanglu yarkandensis (Yarkand deer). Lineage: Eukaryota; Metazoa; Chordata; Mammalia; Artiodactyla; Cervidae. The record is from RNAcentral.